This 549-nucleotide ribosomal RNA is filed under the name Raffaelea ellipticospora. RNAcentral describes it as "partial large subunit ribosomal RNA". It matches the Rfam family "Eukaryotic large subunit ribosomal RNA", at positions 44 to 500 of the family's 3401-position model. The record is from RNAcentral. Lineage: Eukaryota; Fungi; Ascomycota; Sordariomycetes; Ophiostomatales; Ophiostomataceae.
CAAUAAGCGGAGGAAAAGAAACCAACAGGGAUUGCCCCAGUAACGGCGAGUGAAGCGGCAGCAGCUCAAAUUUGAAAUCUGGCCCCCCCCCCGGGGGGGCCCGAGUUGUAAUUUGCAGAGGACGCUUCGGGCGCGGCGCCGGCCGAGUUCCUUGGAACAGGACGCCGUAGAGGGUGAGAGCCCCGUACGGCCGGACGCCUAGCCCGUGCGAAGCUCCUUCGACGAGUCGAGUAGUUUGGGAAUGCUGCUCAAAAUGGGAGGUAAAUUUCUUCUAAAGCUAAAUACCGGCCAGAGACCGAUAGCGCACAAGUAGAGUGAUCGAAAGAUGAAAAGCACUUUGAAAAGAGGGUUAAAGAGUACGUGAAAUUGUUGAAAGGGAAGCGCCUGUGGCCAGACGUGCCGCCCGCGGACCACCUGGCGCCCCCGCGCCAGGGCACGCCGCGGGCGCGCAGGCCAGCAUCGGCCUCCCCGGGGGGACAAAGGGCGCGGGAACGUAGCUCCUCAGGGAGUGUUAUAGACCGCGCCGCCAUGCCUCCGGGGGGGCCGAGG